Non-coding RNA from Hyla sarda, 490 nucleotides. The record is from the annotation of a RefSeq genome assembly. NCBI's taxonomy places the organism in Eukaryota, Metazoa, Chordata, Amphibia, Anura, Hylidae.
GGGCCACAACUAUUGGGGAGCGCGGCGGACGAAUUCUUGUACUUCAAAUCCUUUCAGAUACAUUGGAAUCACCAUAACCAUGAAUAACCAGAUUCUUCUCAUACUGAUAAUUGAAGUUCUCCAAGGUUGUUGCCAGGUAAAGGUGACUCAGAGUGACCUUCUCCUGAUGGUCCCCACCGGGCAGCCAGUGAACAUGUCCUGUCACCAGGACAGCAAUGACAAUUAUGUGGCACUUUGGUACCAACAGAAACCCAGUCAAGCUCUGCAGAUCGUGGUGUAUUCCACAGACGCUAACAGUGCAGACAUGGAGGCCGGAUACGACAGCUGGACGUUCCAUAGACCUUCUAUUCUGAAGUCUUCUCUGGGGAAAGCUGCAGCCGAGAGCAAGGAUUCUGCCGUGUAUUUCUGUGCUGCUAGUAGACACAGCUACAAACACCUAAGAGACUGGCUGCACAAAACCUAUAGAUAUACUGGAGAGAAACUCAUAUAG